RNAcentral lists this ribosomal RNA (491 nucleotides) under uncultured bacterium. Its description in RNAcentral is "partial 16S ribosomal RNA". It matches the Rfam family "Bacterial small subunit ribosomal RNA", at positions 29 to 507 of the family's 1533-position model. The record is from RNAcentral.
AGUGAACGCUGGCGGUAGGCCUAACACAUGCAAGUCGAACGGCAGCACAGUAAGAGCUUGCUCUUACGGGUGGCGAGUGGCGGACGGGUGAGGAAUACAUCGGAAUCUACUUUUUCGUGGGGAUAACGUAGGGAAACUUACGCUAAUACCGCAUACGACCUACGGGUGAAAGCCGGGGAUCUUCGGACCUUUCGCGGUUGGAUGAGCCGAUGUCGGAUUAGCUAGUUGGCGGGGUAAAGGCCCACCAAGGCGACGAUCCGUAGCUGGUCUGAGAGGAUGAUCAGCCACACUGGAACUGAGACACGGUCCAGACUCCUACGGGAGGCAGCAGUGGGGAAUAUUGGACAAUGGGCGCAAGCCUGAUCCAGCCAUACCGCGUGGGUGAAGAAGGCCUUCGGGUUGUAAAGCCCUUUUGUUGGGAAAGAAAAGCAGCAGGUUAAUACCCCGCUGUUCUGACGGUACCCAAAGAAUAAGCACCGGCUAACUUCGUG